RNAcentral lists this ribosomal RNA (453 nucleotides) under uncultured bacterium. RNAcentral's name for it is "bacterial SSU rRNA". It matches the Rfam family "Bacterial small subunit ribosomal RNA", at positions 340 to 786 of the family's 1533-position model. The record is from RNAcentral.
UACGGGAGGCAGCAGUGGGGAAUAUUGCACAAUGGGCGCAAGCCUGAUGCAGCCAUGCCGCGUGUAUGAAGAAGGCCUUCGGGUUGUAAAGUACUUUCAGUCGUGAGGAAGGUGUUAAGGUUAAUAACCUUAGCAAUUGACGCUAGCGACAGAAGAAGCACCGGCUAACUCCGUGCCAGCAGCCGCGGUAAUACGGAGGGUGCGAGCGUUAAUCGGAAUUACUGGGCGUAAAGGGCACGCAGGCGGUUAAUUAAGUUGGAUGUGAAAUCCCCGGGCUUAACCUGGGAAUGGCAUUCAAGACUGGUUAGCUAGAGUCUUGUAGAGGGGGUAGAAUUCCAUGUGUAGCGGUGAAAUGCGUAGAGAUGUGGAGGAAUACCGGUGGCGAAGGCGGCCCCUGGGACAAAGACUGACGCUCAUGUGCGAAAGCGUGGGGAGCAAACAGGAUUAGAUACC